UCGAAAUAACAAUUGUACUUG
Molecule: non-coding RNA, 21 nt
Filed under: Caenorhabditis elegans
Lineage: Eukaryota; Metazoa; Nematoda; Chromadorea; Rhabditida; Rhabditidae
Source: RNAcentral